This 227-nucleotide unclassified non-coding RNA is filed under the name uncultured Lactarius. Its description in RNAcentral is "sequence contains ITS1". The record is from RNAcentral. Lineage: Eukaryota; Fungi; Basidiomycota; Agaricomycetes; Russulales; Russulaceae.
UCGUAACAAAAUGUGUGAGGCAUGCAAAGGCUGUCGCUGACCUUUAACACAAAGGUCGUGCACGCCAGAGUGUGUCCUCUCGCAUAAAAUCCAUCUCACCCUUUUGUGCACCACCGCGCGGGCACCCUCUGGGAUCGAACCGAUCCAGGAGGGGGCUUGCGUUUUCACACAAACCCCCUUUUAAAAGUGUAGAAUGACCCCAUUUUUGCGAUAACACGCAAUCAAUA